CUGGGCCAGUGUGUGUUGCGGUCGGUUAGCUGGGCCAGUGUGUGUUGCGGUCGGUUAGCUGGGCAAGUGUGUUGUGUGUUGCGGUUGGUUAGCUGGGCCAGUGUGUGUGUGCUGUGGUUGGUUAGCUGGGCCAGUGUGUGUGUGCUGUGGUUGGUUAGCUGGGCCAGUGUGUGUUGCGGUUGGUUAGCUGGGCCAGUGUGUGUUGCGGUUGGUUAGCUGGGCCAGUGUGUGUGUGCUGUGAUUGGUUAGCUGGGCCAGUGUGUGUUGCGGUUGGUUAGCUGGGCCAGUGUGUGUGUGCUGUGAUUGGUUAGCUGGGCCAGUGUGUGUUGCGGUUGGUUAGCUGGGCCAGUGUGUGUGUUGCGGUUGGUUAGCUGGGCCAGUGUGUGUGUGCUGUGAUUGGUUAGCUGGGCCAGUGUGUGUGUGUGCUGUGAUUGGUUAGCUGGGCCAGUGUGUGUGUGCUGUGGUUGGUUAGCUGGGCCAGUGUGUGUUGCCGUUGGUUAGCUGGGCCAGUGUGUGUGUGCU
Long non-coding RNA from Cyprinus carpio carpio, 522 nucleotides. NCBI's taxonomy places the organism in Eukaryota, Metazoa, Chordata, Actinopteri, Cypriniformes, Cyprinidae. The record is from Ensembl.